GAUGAACGCUGGCGGCGUGCCUAAUACAUGCCAGUCGAGCGAACAGACGAGGAGCUUGCUCCUCUGACGUUAGCGGCGGACGGGUGAGUAACACGUGGAUAACCUACCUAUAAGACUGGGAUAACUUCGGGAAACCGGAGCUAAUACCGGAUAAUAUAUUGAACCGCAUGGUUCAAUAGUGAAAGACGGUUUUGCUGUCACUUAUAGAUGGAUCCGCGCCGCAUUAGCUAGUUGGUAAGGUAACGGCUUACCAAGGCAACGAUGCGUAGCCGACCUGAGAGGGUGAUCGGCCACACUAGAACUUAAACACGGUCCAGACUCCUACGGGAGGCAGCAGUAGGCAAUCUUCCGCAGUGGGCGAGAGCUUGACGGAGCAACGCCGCGUGAGUGAUGAAGGUCUUCGGAUCGUAAAACUCUGUUAUUAGGGAAGAACAAAUGUGUAAGUAACUAUGCACGUCUUGACGGUACCUAAUCAGAAAGCCACGGCUAACUACGUG
This 497-nucleotide ribosomal RNA is filed under the name uncultured bacterium. Its description in RNAcentral is "partial 16S ribosomal RNA". It matches the Rfam family "Bacterial small subunit ribosomal RNA", at positions 28 to 507 of the family's 1533-position model. The record is from RNAcentral.